UCGAAAGAGAGCCGUAACACAGGUGCUGCAUGGCUGUCGUCAGCUCGUGUCGUGAGAUGUUGGGUUAAGUCCGCAACGAGCGCAACCCUUGUCAUUAGUUGCUACAUUCAGUUGGGCACUCUAAUGAGACUGCCGGUGACAAGCCGGAGGAAGGUGGGGAUGACGUCAAGUCCUCAUGGCCCUUAUAGGUGGGGCUACACACGUCAUACAAUGGCUGGUACAAAGGGUUGCCAACCCGCGAGGGGGAGCCAAUCCCAUAAAGCCAGUCGUAGUCCGGAUCGUAGUCUGCAACUCGACUACGUGAAGUCGGAAUCGCUAGUAAUCGUGGAUCAGAAUGUCACGGUGAAUACGUUCCCGGGUCUU
Molecule: ribosomal RNA, 363 nt
Filed under: uncultured Rhodoferax sp.
Lineage: Bacteria; Pseudomonadati; Pseudomonadota; Betaproteobacteria; Burkholderiales; Comamonadaceae
Description: bacterial SSU rRNA
Rfam family: Bacterial small subunit ribosomal RNA
Source: RNAcentral